Long non-coding RNA from Sycon ciliatum, 3067 nucleotides. RefSeq lists it as uncharacterized. NCBI's taxonomy places the organism in Eukaryota, Metazoa, Porifera, Calcarea, Leucosolenida, Sycettidae. The transcript is spliced from 2 exons. The record is from RefSeq and is a predicted model, not a curated record.
CGUCGAUCUGCUGACACAGUUCACCUGGUUCACACGCCUGACCUGGCAUGCUGCCUUGCGUGAAAGGAACAUUUUUCCGAAAGCAAGCUUCUUCUCCAAAAUUCGAAAUUUCCUUCCAAAAAUGCCGUCGUCCUUGACCUCGAAGCUGAAUGUUGUUAGGAUAGAAAAUUAGCGAAGAUGUAGCCGACCCAUUCUGGCAAGCCGUGUGCCCUCUGGAUAUGCAGUUGUUCGCCAUGGUCAACAAUCUUCUUCUCCUUCGUUCGUACUUUCACUUUCCUGACCACGAAUACAAGCGGUACCCAUGCUCAGGACUCUGAGAAGCUGGAGGGACCCCACAAACCUCAAGCAUUGAGGAUACAACCUUUAACCAAGAACCAGGCAACAUGAUGUGCAUGUAUCACGUUCGCUGUGAUUGCAUCGUUUCAGGGUACACUGACAACAUACUAGUACUAGUAACUAGUCCUUGAUUAGCAGCAGUGGCCUGAAUUAUUGCCUGGCCGCUAUUCAUAUAAUCCUUUGGUGCUUAUGUAGUAUCCCUGCCCGACCAAUACGGAAGCAGUACGGAACUAAUACGGAGCUUGCCUGAUGUAUAUUUAGUGUAUCUCCGUAUGUAAGCGUACGUCGUCUGCUGCAUAAAAGCGGCUGCGCAUUUCUGUUUUGAUGAAGAUUAGAUUAGAUUGGAUAGCAAUGAAAGCUAACUCGAAGAAUAAGGAUUCAGCCUCUAGGUGAGCACCGGAGAGAAAGUCAUUUAUUUUGCCGCUUCUUCUUUCACUAACGAUUAUAUCUCAGGUGUGUACCUGAAAGUAGAAUAAAAGUAAUUAUUGUUGAUUUCACCGCGCCUACCACUCGGCUACCUAUUACAUUGGUGGCAGCGGUGUAGUUUUAAAUAAAACAACGUGAUUCGACUCCAGACCCCCAUGGCUCAACCCGCUGCAGCUCCCUGCGACGAAUCAAGAUGAGAAUCAUGUUUCUUGCCGUCCUGGGCUUGGCCCUACUUAUUAGCUUGCAGCACAGUCAGGGUGCUAGCGUGGAUCACCCUUCCCUCCGCAUGGCAUCCACUUGAGACUCCGAUGGCGAUUCCAAGCGACCCGCUACCUACAUGUUAACUACUGGUGGUGAUGGCGAAGCUGAUGAGGACGACAACAGGCAGGCUGCUGCCCAAGACAAGGAGGGUAUUCCCCAAGACCAGCAGCGUUUGAUUUUCGCCGGCACGCAGUUGGCAGACGGCCGAACCCUGAGUGACCACAAUAACGUUCAGAAGGAGUCCACUCUUUAUUUGGUACUUCGCCUCCGUGGUGGGAUGCAUAUUGUCGUCAACACUCUUCCUGGCUAGACCAUCACUCUUUAUGUCGCGCCAAGCGAUGCUGUCGACAACGUGAAGACCACGAUUCAAGACGAGGAGGGAUGUUAUUUGUCUGACGCCGAGCUAGCCGCUCUGAGUCACCGGCUCAACCAAGAUGAAGAUAAAACCUGGCUCGCCCUCCGCCAUAGCUCCAGCCGCCGCCGUGGUUACUAACGCUGAUUCCAGGUAUGGCAUUUUCUUUCCUGUCUUCCUUCAGUCUCCCUGUUCUCUUCAGUCUUCCUUUAUGCGAGUGUGUGAAUCCAGUUUAGUUUGGUAGGCGUCUGAUCAUGGUGAGCCACGGCUUACCCAGCUAACCUGGGACAAUGUGUGUGACAACGCCCCUUAUAGUUAUAGUGUAUUCAGUUUGGUUUUUGAACUGCGAUGUUCCUGGCGGGUUGUGCCAGCGUUGUGCAGCAAGAGUGCUGUGGAUUUUCAGGUCCUAUUUGGAGAACAGUUCUUUCCCCUUUUGACCCCGUGAGAUCGUGUGAACCUGGUGUGCUUCUACUUUAUGAUUUGUUAUCAGUUCAUUUCUUCUGUCUACUCUAAACGUUAUCAUUUCCGAUAUAAUUUGCCAUCUUCCGGUUGACGCUGUGUUCGUAACUCUUCACUAAUUUUUUGAAAACCACGAGGGCGUGAUAAUCUGUAGGAAGGGAGGGUGUAGUAUCCCUGCCCGACCAAUACGGAAGCAGUACGGAACUAAUACGGAGCUUGCCUGAUGUAUAUUUAGUGUAUCUCCGUAUGUAAGCGUACGUCGUCUGCUGCAUAAAAGCGGCUGCGCAUUUCUGUUUUGAUGAAGAUUAGAUUAGAUUGGAUAGCAAUGAAAGCUAACUCGAAGAAUAAGGAUUCAGCCUCUAGGUGAGCACCGGAGAGAAAGUCAUUUAUUUUGCCGCUUCUUCUUUCACUAACGAUUAUAUCUCAGGUGUGUACCUGAAAGUAGAAUAAAAGUAAUUAUUGUUGAUUUCACCGCGCCUACCACUCGGCUACCUAUUACACUUACUCAUCGCCUUGUUCUGUCUCUAAAAUGGCGUAUGGGUGUUCCGAGGCUUGUAAUAUUUGCUCAAGCCGCGCAUUGGCAUUGGUGUAUGUCGGUAAAUGCCACCCACUGCUGCCUAGCUCAACAUGUUUUGUAUGAUGUAGAAUGCGCUCUGUGUAUCUACAAUCGAGUGACCUGCUCGUGUGGGCCAACUGCAAUUACACCAACAGUUGCACUAGUAUGUGCACUGUGCUGGCACAGUGUAUCAUACUCAGUCUUGUCACUUCUUCUCCCACUUUUACUGUAUUGUUUAAUUCACUGUACACAUCUUGCCCAGCUCCUCUAAGGCCACACAGAAUUAGUUUGUUGUUUUGGGCCACUACACUCAGCUGGUGUAAGGUUGGUCUGCUUCUCUCUUCCUUCUCUUUGACGUGUCCAGCCAAUCAUUCAUGUCAAGCUUUGCAUAACUUAAAUCACUGUAUAUACAGUCACCUGGCUGGAAACGUCCAUGCCUGCAAAAUCGCAUCUUUCUUGAGGGACCCCAUUUUAUAGAGUGGACGACAUUCACUUUCCUGAUAGACUCACCUCAGAUGUUGGUAUUGUACCCAUCCCUGAUUUGUACAUGCACCACGUUUUUGGCAACUCCGAACAGUGAGAAUGUCUGCUGUGGAUAGUUCUCAUGCUUUAAACUCAUUCCUAAAUUGAAUGUAAACAAGUACAGUAUAAUACCACCAAAAUGUAGUUCAUUACAA